RNAcentral lists this long non-coding RNA (330 nucleotides) under Lathyrus oleraceus (garden pea). Its description in RNAcentral is "Pisum sativum (pea) long non-coding RNA (PSAT_LNC027567)". The record is from RNAcentral. Lineage: Eukaryota; Viridiplantae; Streptophyta; Magnoliopsida; Fabales; Fabaceae.
GUUUUUUAUUAGUGUGCUCGCCAAGAUUUCGCAAUCUCGUGCCUACGUAUCCUUAUGGUGCAAUAAGGAAAUCAGAGCAUUCGUAGUUCGGGCAACUACGGUUUUGGUGUGUUUUGUUUGAUGGAUGACUGUGUAGGUCGGCGUUCUAAAGGCUAAACGCUGGCUUGUCUACUCUCGGCGGAGGCUUAAGCACUGGUUUGUUGUGCGCAUUAGAAAGGAUUGACAGUGUUCUUUUUGAAAAGAGUUAUGGUCACGCGGGGGUGACAAGUUGAAUUGAUGUGUCGAAUGUUUUGUUUGGUUUGUUUCGAUCGCUUGGGGGCGAGAAGUUGG